This 403-nucleotide ribosomal RNA is filed under the name uncultured bacterium. Its description in RNAcentral is "partial 16S ribosomal RNA". It matches the Rfam family "Bacterial small subunit ribosomal RNA", at positions 28 to 526 of the family's 1533-position model. The record is from RNAcentral.
GACGAACGCUGGCGGCGUGCCUAACACAUGCAAGUCGAACGCAGUGGGGACGGGUGAGUAACACGUGGGUAACCUCCCAUCAGAGGGGAUAACACUUGGAAACAGGUGCUAAACCGAUACUGAUGGAUGGACCCGCGGUGCACUACCCAGUUGGUGAGGGAACGGCUCACCAAGGCCACGAUGCGUAGCCGGCCUGAGAGGAUGAUCAGCCACACUGGGACUGAGACACGGUCCAGACUCCUACGGGAGGCAGCAGUGGGGAAUCUUCGGCAAUGGGCGAAAGUCUGACCGAGCAACGCCGCGUGAGUGAAGAAGGUUUGCGGAUCGUAAAACUCUGUUAGUAGGGAAGCGGUAUCUAACCAGAAAGCCACGGCUAACUACGUGCCAGCAGCCGCGGUAAUAC